This 301-nucleotide ribosomal RNA is filed under the name uncultured bacterium. RNAcentral's name for it is "partial 16S ribosomal RNA". It matches the Rfam family "Bacterial small subunit ribosomal RNA", at positions 509 to 807 of the family's 1533-position model. The record is from RNAcentral.
CAGCAGCCGCGGUAAUACGUAGGGUGCAAGCGUUAAUCGGAAUUACUGGGCGUAAAGCGUGCGCAGGCGGUUUUGUAAGACAGGCGUGAAAUCCCCGGGCUCAACCUGGGAAUGGCGCUUGUGACUGCAAAGCUAGAGUGCGGCAGAGGGGGAUGGAAUUCCGCGUGUAGCAGUGAAAUGCGUAGAUAUGCGGAGGAACACCGAUGGCGAAGGCAAUCCCCUGGGCCUGCACUGACGCUCAUGCACGAAAGCGUGGGGAGCAAACAGGAUUAGAUACCCGUGUAGUCCCUGUCUCUUAUAC